Molecule: ribosomal RNA, 405 nt
Filed under: uncultured bacterium
Lineage: Bacteria
Description: bacterial SSU rRNA
Rfam family: Bacterial small subunit ribosomal RNA
Source: RNAcentral
UGGGGAAUAUUGCACAAUGGGGGAAACCCUGAUGCAGCGACGCCGCGUGAGUGAGGAAGUAUUUCGGUAUGUAAAGCUCUAUCAGCAGGGAAGAAGCAAGACGGUACCUGACUAAGAAGCCCCGGCUAACUACGUGCCAGCAGCCGCGGUAAUACGUAGGGGGCAAGCGUUAUCCGGAUUUACUGGGUGUAAAGGGAGCGUAGACGGUAUGGCAAGUCUGAAGUGAAAGCCCAGGGCUUAACCCUGGGACUGCUUUGGAAACUGUUAGACUAGAGUGCAGGAGAGGUAAGCGGAAUUCCUAGUGUAGCGGUGAAAUGCGUAGAUAUUAGGAGGAACACCAGUGGCGAAGGCGGCUUACUGGACUGUAACUGACGUUGAGGCUCGAAAGCGUGGGGAGCAAACAGG